RNAcentral lists this ribosomal RNA (497 nucleotides) under uncultured bacterium. Its description in RNAcentral is "partial 16S ribosomal RNA". It matches the Rfam family "Bacterial small subunit ribosomal RNA", at positions 28 to 507 of the family's 1533-position model. The record is from RNAcentral.
GAUGAGCGCUGGCGGCGUGCCUAAUACAUGCAAGUCGAGCGAACGGACGAGAAGCUUGCUUCUCUGAUGUUAGCGGCGGACGGGUGAGUAACACGUGGAUAACCUACCUAUAAGACUGGGAUAACUUCGGGAAACCGGAGCUAAUACCGGAUAAUAUUUUGAACCGCAUGGUUCAAAAGUGAAAGACGGUCUUGCUGUCACUUAUAGAUGGAUCCGCGCUGCAUUAGCUAGUUGGUAAGGUAACGGCUUACCAAGGCAACGAUGCAUAGCCGACCUGAGAGGGUGAUCGGCCACACUGGAACUGAGACACGGUCCAGACUCCUACGGGAGGCAGCAGUAGGGAAUCUUCCGCAAUGGGCGAAAGCCUGACGGAGCAACGCCGCGUGAGUGAUGAAGGUCUUCGGAUCGUAAAACUCUGUUAUUAGGGAAGAACAUAUGUGUAAGUAACUGUGCACAUCUUGACGGUACCUAAUCAGGAAGCCACGGCUAACUACGUG